This 425-nucleotide ribosomal RNA is filed under the name uncultured bacterium. RNAcentral describes it as "partial 16S ribosomal RNA". It matches the Rfam family "Bacterial small subunit ribosomal RNA", at positions 354 to 796 of the family's 1533-position model. The record is from RNAcentral.
GUGGGGAAUCUUGCGCAAUGGGCGAAAGCCUGACGCAGCCAUGCCGCGUGAAUGAUGAAGGUCUUAGGAUUGUAAAAUUCUUUCACCGGGGACGAUAAUGACGGUACCCGGAGAAGAAGCUCCGGCUAACUUCGUGCCAGCAGCCGCGGUAAUACGAAGGGGGCUAGCGUUGCUCGGAAUUACUGGGCGUAAAGGGCGCGUAGGCGGACAGCUUAGUCAGAGGUGAAAGCCCAGGGCUCAACCUUGGAAUUGCCUUUGAUACUGGCUGUCUUGAGUUUGGUAGAGGUGAGUGGAACUCCGGGUGUAGAGGUGAAAUUCGUAGAUAGUCGGAAGAACACCAGUGGCGAAGGCGACUCACUGGCCCAAUACUGACGCUGGGGCGCGAAAGCGUGGGGAGCAAACAGGAUUAGAUACCCUGGUAGUCC